GUUGAACGCUGGCGGCAUGCCUUACACAUGCAAGUCGAACGGCAGCAUGAUCUAGCUUUCUAGAUUGAUGGCGAGUGGCGACCGGGUGAGUAAUACAUCGGAACUUGCCCUGUGGGGGGGGAUAACUAGUCGAAAGAUUAGCUAAUACCGCAUACGACCUGAGGGUGAAAGUGGGGGACCGCAAGGCCUCAUGCUAUAGGACCGGCCGAUUUCUGAUUAGCUAUUUGGUGGGGUAAAGGCCCACCAAGGCGACGAUCAGUAGCUGUUCUGAGAGGACGAGGAGCCAACCUGGGACUGGAGAACGGCCCAGACUCCUCAGGGGGGAAGGAGUGGGGAAUUUUGGCAAAUGGGGGCAAUCCUGAUCCAGCAAUGCCGCGUGUGUGAAGAAGGCCUUCGGGUUUUAAAGCACUUUUGUACGGAAAGAAAUCGCACUUACUAAUAUUAGGUGUGGAUGACGGUACCGGAAGAAUAAGGACCGGCUAACUACGUG
RNAcentral lists this ribosomal RNA (490 nucleotides) under uncultured bacterium. Its description in RNAcentral is "partial 16S ribosomal RNA". It matches the Rfam family "Bacterial small subunit ribosomal RNA", at positions 28 to 507 of the family's 1533-position model. The record is from RNAcentral.